GCCAAGGAGGGCGUGCUGGAGCGCGGGGCGCGCCAAGGAGGGCGUGCUGGAGCGCGGUGGCGCAGCAAGCAGGGCGUCGGCCCUCGUCCAGCAGCUCGGCGGCGGCCUCGGCGGGCCCGGCGCGGGGCGUCCAGGGGGUCGGCGGUAAGCGGCGCCGGGCGUCCAGCGGCUCGGCGGCGGGGCCUCGGCGGGCUCGGCGCGGGGCGUCCAGGAGGUCGGCGGCGGGCCCCGGUGGGAAGCGGCGUCCCCAACCGUAGCCUGAGUGAUGCCUCUUCUAGCGGUUCAUGAAGAAUAUGUAGGCGACAUUUGCUAGUGGCACGACGCGGUUCUUCACGGCGACGGCGGACCCAAGCGAUCUGCGG
RNAcentral lists this ribosomal RNA (362 nucleotides) under Triticum aestivum (bread wheat). RNAcentral's name for it is "partial small subunit ribosomal RNA". Lineage: Eukaryota; Viridiplantae; Streptophyta; Magnoliopsida; Poales; Poaceae. The record is from RNAcentral.